GGUUUAGUAGUCCUGGCGUCAGGAUGAACGCUGGCGGCGUGCCUAACACAUGCAAGUCGAACGGGGCGGCGCGAGGCGUGAGGCGUUUUCGGAGCGGAAGCCGGCGCUGCCACGUGGCGGACGGGUGAGUAACGCGUGGCGAACCUGCCCUGCACUGGGGGACGAACAGCCGGAAACGGCUGCUAAUACCGCAUAUGCCCGCAGCCCCGCAUGGGGCGGCGGGGGAAGCUCCGGCGGUGCAGGAUGGGCCCGCGUCUGAUUAGCUGGUUGGCGGGGCAACGGCCCACCAAGGCGACGAUCAGUAGCCGGCCUGAGAGGGUGGGCGGCCACAUUGGGACUGAGACACGGCCCAGACUCCUACGGGAGGCAGCAGUGGGGGAUAUUGCACAAUGGGGGGACCCUGAUGCAGCGACGCCGCGUGGGCGAUGGAGUGCUUCGGCAUGUAAAGCCCUAUCAGCAGGGAAGAAAAUGACGGUACCUGACUAAGAAGCCCCGGCUAAAUACGUG
Molecule: ribosomal RNA, 507 nt
Filed under: uncultured Eubacteriales bacterium
Lineage: Bacteria; Bacillati; Bacillota; Clostridia; Eubacteriales
Description: bacterial SSU rRNA
Rfam family: Bacterial small subunit ribosomal RNA
Source: RNAcentral